AACCUUCGCAAUGCGCGAAAGCGUGACGAGGGAACCCCAAGUGCGCGCUUACAAAGCGUGCUUUUACGGAGUGUAAAAAGCUCCGAGAAUAAGGGCUGGGUAAGACUGGUGCCAGCCUCCGCGGUAACACCAGCAGCUCAAGUGGUGAUCACGUUUAUUGGGUUUAAAGGGUGCGUAGUCGGUUCAGCAAGUUUCCUGUGAAAUCCUGCAGCUUAACUGUAGGGAUUGCAGAAAAUACUACUGGGCUAGAGGCCGGGGUAGGCGUGGGGUAUUCUAGGGGUAGCGGUGAAAUGCUAUAAUCCCUGGAGGACCACCAGUAGCGAAGGCGCCACGCUGGAACGGGCCUGACGAUGAGGCACGAGAGCUAGGGGAGCGAACAGGAUUAGAUACCCUGGUAGUCCUAGCCGUAAACGAUGUGGGUUUAGUGUUUCCUGAACCUCGUGUUCAGGAAGUGCUGAAGGGAAACCGUUAAACCCACCACCUGGGAGUACGUCGCAAGGC
Molecule: ribosomal RNA, 501 nt
Filed under: uncultured archaeon
Lineage: Archaea
Description: bacterial SSU rRNA
Rfam family: Archaeal small subunit ribosomal RNA
Source: RNAcentral